Non-coding RNA from Trichonephila clavipes, 75 nucleotides. Lineage: Eukaryota; Metazoa; Arthropoda; Arachnida; Araneae; Nephilidae. The record is from the annotation of a GenBank genome assembly.
GGGGGUAUAGCUCAGUGGUAGAGCAUUCGACUACAGAUCGAGGCUUUCUUUCUGUUUCAACCCCGAGUGCCCUUC